This 208-nucleotide ribosomal RNA is filed under the name uncultured bacterium. RNAcentral describes it as "partial 16S ribosomal RNA". It matches the Rfam family "Bacterial small subunit ribosomal RNA", at positions 568 to 774 of the family's 1533-position model. The record is from RNAcentral.
AGCGUAGACGGAUGGACAAGUCUGAUGUGAAAGGCUGGGGCUCAACCCCGGGGACUGCAUUGGAAACUGCCCGUCUUGAGUGCCGGAGAGGUAAGCGGAAUUCCUAGUGUAGCGGUGAAAUGCGUAGAUAUUAGGAGGAACACCAGUGGCGAAGGCGGCUUACUGGACGGUAACUGACGUUGAGGCUCGAAAGCGUGGGGAGCAAACA